UAAAGUGACAUAAUAACUUUAUUACACAACCUGCCAUAUCAUAUGAUACGACCAUUUUGGGAACAUUUACACACACAGAAUACAUUCAAAAAAUAUUUUAUUAUGCACAUAUGUGAUAAUUUAUGAACAGAAAUGAUUUGGUCAUACAUUUUUGUAAUUCAUAGUCAUUCCCAACAGCCAUAACAGACACAAAAAUUCAAUGCAUCACAUUAUGUGGUUCAGAUACAGCUGCCUGUGAUUAUGCACUUGGUCAGUAGGUGGUUUCGUGAGCACAUGAAGCUUCGAGAAAUGAACCCUUUCUCGAACCAAUUGGCUGAAGUGGUUCGAUGCCUCAUGAAGCUUCAUCUCACCAUCACUACCUGUAACCCAUUUGUAAACAAACUCCCCCGGUGAAUCGAGCCCGUCCGAGCUAGAAGAACAUUUGUUCGAGAUGCAAAUGACGGUGGCCUUAAGGGACACAACAACUCUGCCGGUGUUCUAAUGACAGCGACCAGAACUCGGUUAGGAGCAGCGGACCAAACACACGUCUGUGUCGCCGUCUCCAUUAGCGGCUCGUUGCAGAGUGAGAUGGCAGCUGGGAGGAAGGAGCUCCUGGAGAGGAUCUGGAUCCGUCUCUAACUGAAAGUGCUCGACCGGGAGGACCCUGUUCUCCACCACCAUGCACCUAAUGGUUCCAGGAUGGUUCCCAGUUAUGAGGUGCCCUUGUCAUUUCAUAAUUUCCUUUUUGAUAUGUGAUAUCUCGAAUGUUUCAUUGAUCUCUUCAGGCCAACAGUAUGUACCUGACAAUACUCUCUGAGCCGGACCUGUUUGUUGCAAAGUAAAAACACAAAUGUACCUUUGUAGUUAUUUUCAAUAGGGUUCUUUAUUUUGUUAUCGUCGAUGCCUCUUCAGUGUUGGUAAGUUCUAUCAUUUUGAAAUAAGCACCCGCAGUGUUAUACAAAUGAUAAUAAUGAUAUUAAUUAAAUUACCUGUUUUCCCCCCUAUAUUACAGGCAUGUUUUGUUCCCUUGCACCUACAUCAGUCUAUAAUGAUGCAUAAAUUACUUUAUGUUCUGGUACGCGAUCAGUAAAGAUAACAAUUGUUUAUGAGUAUAUUUGAAUAAAAUUGGGAACAAUCAUACUGCA
Pseudoliparis swirei is the source of this 1124-nucleotide long non-coding RNA. RefSeq lists it as uncharacterized. The record is from RefSeq and is a predicted model, not a curated record. The transcript has 2 exons. NCBI's taxonomy places the organism in Eukaryota, Metazoa, Chordata, Actinopteri, Perciformes, Liparidae.